Molecule: ribosomal RNA, 578 nt
Filed under: uncultured bacterium
Lineage: Bacteria
Description: partial 16S ribosomal RNA
Rfam family: Bacterial small subunit ribosomal RNA
Source: RNAcentral
UGGGGAAUUUUGGACAAUGGGCGAAAGCCUGAUCCAGCAAUGCCGCGUGUGUGAAGAAGGCCUUCGGGUUGUAAAGCACUUUUGUCCGGAAAGAAAUCCUUGGCUCUAAUACAGUCGGGGGAUGACGGUACCGGAAGAAUAAGCACCGGCUAACUACGUGCCAGCAGCCGCGGUAAUACGUAGGGUGCAAGCGUUAAUCGGAAUUACUGGGCGUAAAGCGUGCGCAGGCGGUUUGCUAAGACCGAUGUGAGAUCCCCGGGCUCAACCUGGGAACUGCAUUGGUGACUGGCAGGCUAGAGUAUGGCAGAGGGGGGUAGAAUUCCACGUGUAGCAGUGAAAUGCGUAGAGAUGUGGAGGAAUACCGAUGGCGAAGGCAGCCCCCUGGGCCAAUACUGACGCUCAUGCACGAAAGCGUGGGGAGCAAACAGGAUUAGAUACCCUGGUAGUCCACGCCCUAAACGAUGUCAACUAGUUGUUGGGGAUUCAUUUCCUUAGUAACGUAGCUAACGCGUGAAGUUGACCGCCUGGGGAGUACGGUCGCAAGAUUAAAACUCAAAUGAAUUGACGGGGUCAUAGCU